AAUAUCAGAGUAAAGAUGACAUUCUCAUCCUGACAGUGCGGCUGGCUGUCAUUGUUGCUGUGAUCCUCACAGUGCCGGUGUUAUUUUUCACGGUUCGUUCAUCUUUAUUUGAACUGGCUAAGAAAACAAAGUUUAAUUUAUGUCGUCAUACCGUGGUUACCUGCAUACUCUUGGUUGUUAUCAACUUGUUGGUGAUCUUCAUACCCUCCAUGAAGGAUAUUUUUGGAGUCGUAGGAGUUACAUCUGCUAACAUGCUUAUUUUCAUUCUUCCUUCAUCUCUUUAUUUAAAAAUCACAGACCAGGAUGGAGAUAAAGGAACUCAAAGAAUUUGGGCUGCCCUUUUCUUGGGCCUGGGGGUGUUGUUCUCCUUGGUCAGCAUUCCCUUGGUCAUCUAUGACUGGGCCUGCUCAUCGAGUAGUGACGAAGGCCACUGAAACCCGCCGAGAAAAAGAAACAUCCCUGUUGUCUGCUCAGUCAAGUCCCCACACAUCAGCAAUCUCUCACCACUUCUUUUGCAAGUUUACAGAAGCAAACAGAAAUGUACAGGAUACUUAAAAUGGAAUAACUUUUUGGUUGCAAAACAGAGACAUGGUUCUAUAAUGCUUCAUGUCCCUCCAAGAUUUGAGAUCAAUUUAGGGAUUGUGAAAUUUUUUUUUCAAAUUUCAUACAAUCAUAUUUCCCAGUACUUUUCACAAUCAUUUUUUACCCAUCUAACUCUAUGUUUUGUGGCUUCCCGGUCUCUUAGAACUUUGAAAACAUGAUAUACAAUAAUGUUUAUUUAUUAUACAUCCAGAUUCUGAAAUAAUUUUCCUACUGAUGUUCAGCUCACACUAUCUGUACCUUUUUAGAAGAGAAAAGAAUCUUGAAUUGUAUAUAUUUAUUUUGCUUUACAGAAAAAAAUGGUUUCGUAAAUAAUUUGCCUAUUUUGGUUAACAUAGCACAUGGAGAUAAUCAUCUGAAAGUUAUAGGGCACUGCCACUGCUGAAUCAGAGCAUGCCCAAUAUUUGAGGUGGCUCUGAUUUCCUGGCAGCUGAACUCGGGUAGUCCAGUGGCCUAGCUGGUACCACAUCUAUUCCCAUCCAGAGACAUUCUCUGGCAAGUGUUCUCAGCUGAAAAGUGGUUGGGGAUGAUUCUUACCUUGGUAAUUAAAUGAAGCUACACAUUUGGGUAAUCUAGCAAAUGAAGUAUUUUUUCCCUCUUGGCAACUUGUGUCAGAGUUACUCUGGUCUGAGUCAACUUUCGCUGGGGAAAACCUAUGGAACCUACUGCAAAAAGAUUGUCCAAAAUGCCUAAGAAAAUACUCCUCUGAUGCAUUUAGCCUUCAACCCUACCUGUCUUGCUGAAGGGAGAAAAAUGUUUUAGUACAUUAUAGGCCCAGCAGCUUUUAUUCAUGUCCACCAGCUAGUUGCACAGAGAAUCAUGUGUACCUAACUAAGGAUGAUCUAGGAUAAGUAACUCCUGUUUUAUAUUGAGUAUUUUAGGGAAGUCUUUAAAAGACUUGUUUUAUAUCUAUAAAUCUAGGUUAUUACAAAUACAAGAAUUUUGUACCUUAAAUAAGCCUCAUUUCUAUUUCUUCUUCAUUAAUUCUCCAUCUAGUCUUG
This 1601-nucleotide long non-coding RNA is filed under the name Homo sapiens (human). RNAcentral describes it as "long non-coding RNA NONHSAT163492.1". The record is from RNAcentral. Lineage: Eukaryota; Metazoa; Chordata; Mammalia; Primates; Hominidae.